GUUGAGAAAGGCUGCACAGACAAAUGGCGGAUCUGAGAGGCCCCCCCUCCCCCCUGAAUUUUUUCUUCUUCACACCCUCACGCCAAAAGCUAUAGAUCCCUCGUUUUGUUUUUUGCUUCAUCUCCGGCGAGUCAAUGCAAAAAAUCUGGCCAGUCAUCGGACCCCUUAUGAAUCCUUAGAGCUCGAAGUUUACUUUAUUGGCAAACCAGUGGUUUUUCCAGCAACUCAUUCGACCUUUUCUUUGGAUUUCAAGCUUCUUUGCGUUUCAGCCUUGCUCCUCCAUUUGAUUUCCAUUUGAAGUUCGAGUCUGCCGACGAGAACGUUUCUGUGCUUCAUUUGCUUCCGAAUUUUGGCUUUUGAGUGUGGUAAUGGAGUUAAGUCAAGGAUGAUUCCGGUUCAAGUUUCCGGGGAGGUUCGACUUGAGACCGUUGUUCUUCGUUUCCGGUUUGAGGUUCGAGUUUCAAUUUUUUCAUAUACAUGUUUUUGAGUCAAUUUAGUGUUUGAUUGCAUUUGGAUGUUAGAUGUUGUUGUUGUUCAUGUCAUAGUAGAAUGUUUGAAAUA
Molecule: non-coding RNA, 561 nt
Organism: Nicotiana tabacum (common tobacco)
Lineage: Eukaryota; Viridiplantae; Streptophyta; Magnoliopsida; Solanales; Solanaceae
Source: RefSeq, a predicted model, not a curated record